RNAcentral lists this ribosomal RNA (245 nucleotides) under uncultured bacterium. Its description in RNAcentral is "partial 16S ribosomal RNA". It matches the Rfam family "Bacterial small subunit ribosomal RNA", at positions 524 to 768 of the family's 1533-position model. The record is from RNAcentral.
UACGGAACAGGCAAGCGUUGUUCGGAAUCACUGGGCUUAAAGCGCGUGUAGGCGGCUCGGCAAGUACCGUGUGAAAUCCCCCGUCUCAAUCGGGGCACUGCUUGGUAUACUGCCGGGCUUGAGGUAGGUAGGGGUGCCUGGAACUCUAGGUGGAGCGGUGAAAUGCGUAGAUAUCUAGAGGAACGCCUGUGGCGAAAGCGGGGCACUGGGCCUAUCCUGACGCUGAGGCGCGAAAGCGUGGGUAG